GCCAGACAUGGUGGUGCGUGUCUGUAAUCCCAGCUACUCAGGAGGCUGAGGCAGGAGGAUUGCUUGAACCCAGGAGGCGGAGGUUGCAGUGAGCCGAGAUUGUACCACUGCACUCCAGCCUGGGUGACAGAGCAAGACUCCGUCUCAA
This 148-nucleotide non-coding RNA is filed under the name Gorilla gorilla gorilla (western lowland gorilla). The record is from Rfam by way of RNAcentral. Lineage: Eukaryota; Metazoa; Chordata; Mammalia; Primates; Hominidae.